This 400-nucleotide ribosomal RNA is filed under the name uncultured bacterium. RNAcentral's name for it is "bacterial SSU rRNA". It matches the Rfam family "Bacterial small subunit ribosomal RNA", at positions 355 to 747 of the family's 1533-position model. The record is from RNAcentral.
UGGGGAAUAUUGGACAAUGGGCGCAAGCCUGAUCCAGCCAUGCCGCGUGUGUGAAGAAGGCCUUCGGGUUGUAAAGCACUUUAAGUGGGGAGGAAGGUCUGUGUGUUAAUAGCGCACAGGAUUGACGUUACCCACAGAAUAAGCACCGGCUAACUCCGUGCCAGCAGCCGCGGUAAUACGGAGGGUGCAAGCGUUAAUCGGAAUUACUGGGCGUAAAGCGCACGUAGGUGGUUUGGUAAGUUGGAUGUGAAAGCCCUGGGCUCAACCUGGGAACUGCAUUCAAAACUGCCGAACUAGAGUACGAGAGAGGGGGGUAGAAUUUCAGGUGUAGCGGUGAAAUGCGUAGAUAUCUGAAGGAAUACCGGUGGCGAAGGCGGCCCCCUGGCUUGAUACUGACACU